AGCAGAGCUCACACAAGGACGCAGGGCUUGUGAGCGUUUCUGGAGAGGAAGUUCUCCUCACAGAGAGAGGGAAACAGCAGAUGGCAGGCACCAUGGAGCCCCCUUCAGGCCCUGCAAGCAGGAGGCAUGUGCCCUGGAGCAGACUCCUGCUGGCAGUCUCACUCUUAACUUUCUGGACCCCGCCUACCUCUGCCCAGCUCACUAUUGAAACGGUGCCCCGGCUUGCUGCAGAAGGGUCGGAUGUUUUUCUAGUUGCCCACAACGUGACAAAGAUUCCUCUAGCCUAUUCCUGGCACAGAGGAGAAAGGGUAGAAAACAUCAAGCUAAUUGCAUCAUAUAGAGUAGAUAAUGAUGCAACUGUCUAUGGGCCUCUGUACAGCAAACGGGAGGCACUUUACCCCAACGGAACCCUGCUGAUCCGGAACGUUGCCCAGAAAGACACAGGAUCCUACACCCUGCUCGUUACAAAGAAUGAUUUACAGACAGAAAGACAGAUUGGACACCUCCAUGUAUACCCGGUGCUACCCACACCCGUCAUCACCAGCAACAACUCCAACCCCAGGGAGCACGAGGACACUGUGGUGUUAACAUGUGGAUCUGAGACCCAGAACACCUCCUACAUGUGGUGGAUCAACAGUCAGAGCCUCCCCAAGAGCAUGAGACUGGAACUGUCCAAGGACAAGAGGACUCUCACACUAGUCACCGUGACAAGGAAUGACACAGGACCCUAUGUGUGUGAAGCCCGGAACCCAGUGAGUGUCAGCCGCAGUGACCCAUUCACCCUGGAUGUCCUCUGGCAAGAAAACAGCCGAGCCCUCGGCGUGGGGGCCAUUACUGGCAUCGUGAUUGCGGUCCUGCUUGUGCUGACGCCGCUGGCUGGCCUGGGGUGUUUCAUUUUCCUUCACAGGUUUUUCUUCCCUAACCCCGGCUGCCUGCAAAACAGAGGGAACUGGCCCCCAGCGUCCACCUAGGACGUGGUCCCUCCGGCAGCUCUGUCUCCCAGGCCUCCCGACCUGAUGCCAGGCCAACAGUUCCCAUCUACCAGGAAUUACUACACCCGAACACAGAUGUUUAUUGUCAUAUCAGCCACAAAGCAGAUGUGGGUCCUUAGUUCCUCCAGACUCGUCUCCUUAACAAACUGUGGGAAAGAGCUUACCUGAGACCCAAAUCCUGAGUGAGGUCAAGAGGAAGAGCCUGAGGCAGAGAACCAGCUCUGAGACCUGAGGCUAUUCAGGAGCCUGGGCCCAGGCUCAGGGUCCUCCUGGAUUCCUGGAGACCCUGACAGGCUGCCCUGAACCCUAGAUGGACCAGAACUCAGGCUGUGAUUCCCACAGUGGGGAGAGGUUUCAACAGGGCAAGUGACUGGGACCGUGACCCACUGCGGACCACCAGAGAGAUCUGAAUAAAGAGCACUUUCCUUUUGGCUGCAAAAUAUAGUGACCUUGGGUCCAGUCCAGCAAGAAAUUCACAUGAAUCUCUGCUCUGGUCUCUCCAUGGUUCCUCAGGGAAAGUAUCAGCUCUAGUUACCUAACCUCUGCAUCUAUUUCCUGGAGGAAACGAAGGGGAAGAAUGUGAGAAUGGAGGGAGGGGGCAUGCUAACAGGAAAGGAGGGUCACCAGACCCUUCGCAGGCACGUGGGCAUCGGCAGUCCUCACACUGCCCUGGGGUCCCAGCACCUCCCAGUGCCUGCUCACCUGGCAUGGGGUCUCUGGAGAAUAGAAUAUGGGUCCAUCUGAGACCCAGUAGAACCCGAGUCAGGAAGGACUAGGCGUGGGUGAGACCAUAUUAUGGGUGAGGCCCCUUUGCAGCCUCUUGGUGUCCUGAGCCCUCUAGCCCUCCUCUCCAGGCCCUGC
RNA transcript from Capra hircus (goat), 1853 nucleotides. It is a transcript of the gene named carcinoembryonic antigen-related cell adhesion molecule 6-like, with no coding region annotated. The record is from RefSeq and is a predicted model, not a curated record. Lineage: Eukaryota; Metazoa; Chordata; Mammalia; Artiodactyla; Bovidae. The transcript has 8 exons.